GUGCCUCAGGGAUGAACCAGUCCCUGAUAUUUAAUCCCAUUAGCUUCACUUUGUCAGGAAGCCCUUUCUGUCUUCUCUGAUCAUUCAUAAUGGGAAAAUC
This 100-nucleotide small nucleolar RNA is filed under the name Amborella trichopoda. Its description in RNAcentral is "Small nucleolar RNA snoR99". It matches the Rfam family "Small nucleolar RNA snoR99". Lineage: Eukaryota; Viridiplantae; Streptophyta; Magnoliopsida; Amborellales; Amborellaceae. The record is from Rfam by way of RNAcentral.